UUUCUGCCUUGCAUCCCCCCUAACGUGAGGUAACAGGCAAAAAAUAAGAUUUGCAGAUCGCUCAGAUAGUGCAGCAAUGGCGUAAGACACAAUGAGUAUCAGGCAAUUAGCGAGCUACGGGUAGUGGCUUGGAUGGUAAAAGGGUCCGAUUUCUACAGCUAAAUUUAGAAACGGUUUUCCUGGAUAAAAAGCGCUGCUUUCACAAAGAAAUGCAGGCUUACCGAGAUAUGCGCCCCUGUGCAGGCGACAACCGUGAGGUUGACGAUUUUGCGAUAAGACUCGGGGCCGUCGGUUAACUCUGUCCAUUAGUUCCCCUAUGCGUAGACUCAAUUGACAA
This is a non-coding RNA of Pragia fontium, 337 nucleotides long. The record is from Rfam. Lineage: Bacteria; Pseudomonadati; Pseudomonadota; Gammaproteobacteria; Enterobacterales; Budviciaceae.